GACGGGCCCGCACAAGCAGCGGAGCGUGUGGUUUAAUUCGAUGUUACACGAAGAACCUUACCAGGGUUUGACAUGCAAGUGGUAGGAAGCCGAAAGGUGACCGACCCUUCGGGGAGCUUGCACAGGUGCUGCAUGGCUGCGUCAGCUCGUGUCGUGAGAUGUUCGGUUAAGUCCGCUAACGAGCGCAACCCUCGCUGUGUGUUAUAUGUGUCACACGGGACUGCCGGUCUUAAGCCGGAGGAAGGUGGGGAUGAUGUCAAGUCAGCAUGGCCUUUAUAUCCUGGGCUACACACACGCUACAAUGGCCAACACAAUAGGUUGCUAAGCCGCGAGGUGGCGCCAAUCCAUAAAGUUGGUCUCAGUUCAGAUUGUAGGCUGCAACCCGCCUGCAUGAAGAUGGAGUUGCUAGUAACCGCAGGUCAGCUAUACUGCGGUGAAUACGUUCCCGGGGCUU
Molecule: ribosomal RNA, 454 nt
Filed under: uncultured Leptolinea sp.
Lineage: Bacteria; Bacillati; Chloroflexota; Anaerolineae; Anaerolineales; Anaerolineaceae
Description: bacterial SSU rRNA
Rfam family: Bacterial small subunit ribosomal RNA
Source: RNAcentral